AGUUGUUUAACUAUGGCAAUAGGAAGUGUAUGAUAACUUAAUUGCAUAAAUUUGUUAUUUCUUGGUGGUUUAUGUGCUCUUUUCGAAUUAUUAGCAGUUAGUAUUUUAUUAGAAUGAAAGUUUUUUAAGAUGUUAUCAUGAAAAGGGGAUUGGACACAGUGCCAGCAUCCGCGGUUAA
Molecule: ribosomal RNA, 178 nt
Filed under: Rhodobothrium sp. DTJL-2012
Lineage: Eukaryota; Metazoa; Platyhelminthes; Cestoda; Rhinebothriidea; Rhinebothriidae
Description: partial 12S ribosomal RNA
Source: RNAcentral